Tachysurus vachellii is the source of this 1106-nucleotide long non-coding RNA. RefSeq lists it as uncharacterized. The transcript has 3 exons. The record is from RefSeq and is a predicted model, not a curated record. Lineage: Eukaryota; Metazoa; Chordata; Actinopteri; Siluriformes; Bagridae.
GUUUCUGGUGAGGUUUGUAUCCUCUGAUCAGUGUUUGUAAGUGUUUCUGGUGAGGUUUGUAUCCUCUGCUCAGUGUUUGUAAGUGUUUUGUGGAGGUUUGUAUCCUCUGAUCAGUGUUUGUAAGUGUUUCUGGUGAGGUUUUUAUGCUCUACUCAGUGUUUAUAAGUGUUCUGUGGAGGUUUGUAUGCUCUGCUCACCUUGCCGGAUCUCUGCGGUUCCUGGUGACAGUGAUGUCCCUUCAGUGCGCUGCUUCUCCCCGGCUUCACUCCGUUCACCGCCCGGUGCUGACACGCGUCUCCGUUCGCCUCCUUGUUCACCGCGCUCUCGGUCAUACUUCCCUACAAAGACGUGUAAGGACACAUCAAUAAACGUCGAACAAUUUAGAGUCGAAUUAAAGCUACAAGCAAAAACAGCCACCACGGAAAGCCACUAGAACGAAGGAGGAACACGAAAUUCCAGCCUCCGCAUACCGGAAGUCAACGCCUAUGGUAACCAGAAGGAGUAGCCAAUCACAGGCGCUACUGUGACGCGAUGGGCGUGGCCAGUGUGUCAAAUUCCACGGACGGCCUGAGGAAACAGGGCGUGGUUUUGAUUCGCCGCGUGAUGAACGAGAGUAACCUCGAGACGACCAAUGAGAAGCGCUUCCUGAUAUGACAGGCAUCCAGAAAUUGUACCAGCUCCGAUCGUCUACCGUGCGAUGAGGAUUUUGGACCUCCACUGAGAUGAGGCCGACUGUGUGAAGAUCUUGAGACAUCUAGAGAUGUUCCAGCUUGGGUUAGACUCUGCGAUACUAAAGAGGAGAUGUGAACUCCAUGUGGUCUUUGAGGACAACAACCUCCUCAUCAAUACAACAUUUAUCAGACUGUAUACUUAUAAUCACACCCUCCAGUGUCACCCAAAUGAGGAUGAGGUUCAACUUUGAGUCUGGUUCCUCUCAAGGUUUCUUCCUUUACCAUCUAAGGGAGUUUUUCCUCCCUACAGUCACCUGAGUCACCUCAGACUUGCUCAUUGGGGAUAAAUACAUACACAUUUAAAUAUAUCUUAUAUUAAUCUUGAAUUUUGUAUUAUAUUAAUCUUUAUAAUAUUUUUUAUAUUAACCUUUUGUU